Long non-coding RNA from Clupea harengus (Atlantic herring), 1060 nucleotides. RefSeq lists it as uncharacterized. The record is from RefSeq and is a predicted model, not a curated record. NCBI's taxonomy places the organism in Eukaryota, Metazoa, Chordata, Actinopteri, Clupeiformes, Clupeidae. The transcript has 3 exons.
UUUUAUUCCAUUUCUCUCCCCAACCCUUGCAGGUUUACUGGUCCCUUGCUCUACUUCUUCCCCUGCUGGUGCAGUCUCUCCCCAUCACUGAGGAGGACCUGCCUAUUGACUGUCUUCAGAACAUGCACCUGCUCACAUAUGGGGCAAAGUAUAUGUUGAGAGUGGACUUGGAGGACUUUGAGGGGGGGAAGGCCUCUGCUCUGUACGGAACCUUCUUUAUAGAAUCAGAGUCGGAUGGGUACAGACUUCAUGUGAUUGACUUCAAGAAUGUCGGUGCAGGUGAUUCUCUGGCCCGACACAACGGAAACAGAUUCUCUGCCUUUGAUAGGGACCAGGAUUCCUAUAGAUGGGGUCAUUGCAGUAGAGGUCACCUAAUGGGAGGAUUUUGGUUUCACAACUGCAAGGAUACCACCCCUAAUGCUCUAUACCAAUGGAAAGACUACCGUGUCAAUGACGGGUCUGGUUUGCUAUGGCGAUCAUCGAAUUUGUCCCAACUGAAAGCCAUUGCUAUGAAGGUUAAGAGGUUUAGGGCUAAUCUAAGUAACUAGUUGAAGACGUCUCUGGUUUAUUGGCCGUACCACAAUUAGACUUUAAAUGGUCAUCCUGUUUAAGAAUGGACAGACCAUUUUUUUCUGAAAUGAGAUGUAUUAAGAACAUCCUGGGAUUGUUUGCUUUUUUAUAUAUAUAUGAAGUGAAAAAGUCAUGAUUUCAUUUCUUUAGUAAUUUACUGCUUUUGAUCUCUCAUUGCAAACACGUUGUAUGUUGAUGAAUCGUUGGGUGUUUCUCGGCUGUUCCAUUCCUUGAUUGGCCUUGUCUAUCAAAUGAAGCCCCAAAUAAAUAUGUCAACCUUGCCAUCCGGGAAUGUUUUUUUUUCUUCUCAAUUCUAAUGUGUGAUCUGAUUCCGAUUUGUCGCUAGCAAAAACAUUUGAAUAUCCGCCUUAAUUCUCUGAGCCCACCUCUAGACACAAUGGUCUAGGUUGUUUGUUGAUUGAUGUAUCGUCUCAAAAUGGUCAUAGAAAAAACGAAGACUGUGUCGUUAUUGCUUUCAUAAAAUAUAGUA